UCUGCAGUAUAAUAGCACUGACUUGAGCUAAUGCGGUCCUUCAAUGUGUGCCCUGGACUUGAGUGAAAUUGCACAGGAAAUGAAUUUAGCCCUCUGUCUGCAGUGUGAAAAGCAACAAAAAGAGGAAGUGCCUCAACCCACUCUAGCUCAGAUUUUCAUAGUUGAUUGCAGGAUUGGGCCUCGUAUAUGUAGUCUAUUACAGUAGCAUUUAGCAGGAAACACCUGAUUCUCAGAUAUUUUCUAUAUAAUCACUGAGAAACAGAAUAAAGUAACACUUUUUAAACUUCAUCAGUCAAGGGGGGGGGGAAUUCUUCAGUUGAAAUUUGGCAGCUACAAUCCUAGUGGAUUUUUUUUUUUAAUGUAAUGACACCUGUACUAUGUCUAUUGUGGUUUAUAUUUCUAUUGAUGAUGAUAUUUAGCACUUAUACAGCAUUUUACAGCUUCAGUGCACUGUGCAAACUAAGUGCAGUAAUUAAUCUGAUGUAGUCUAGCACAAUAUGUACAGUUCAUCUGGCACUAUGUAAUUUUUUUAAAUAGACAUGACAUGUAGGUUUGUACUAGUACCUGUUACAUUCAUCCAGAUGCUGAAUACCAGGCUCGGCUAAUACAGCCAGAGGUGAUACCACACAAGUGAAGAACACUUUACUAACCUUUAAAUUGAAUCUUGAUUCAUUUUUCAUUCCUCCUUUUUUUAUUCUAUCCAUCCAUCUUCCACAUCAUUCUCUCCUCUGAUUUCCAACCACCUUCUGCACUAUUUUUUCAGUACUCUAUACACUGUUCUCUUUCUGCACUCUCCUCCCCAUCUUUUUCCCAUUUCCUCAGCCUCCUACCUCCCUUCUUGUCACAUCCAUUCCUUUCUGCAGGUUUCCUCCACGUUGCUCACACUUUUUUCCCCUUCACCUUCCUCAGGUCCUCACAUCUUGGGCAGCAAGAAUUUAGGCAGUGGUUGGCUUGGGGAGUGUGCAGGGUUAGAGCCAGGAUACAAGAGAGCUCCACCAUCAAGAGGAAGCACUUAAAUGCAGGUCACUGUCCCUCUCUCCUUAAUGGAGAAACUGGGAACAACACCUUAGCUAAUCUGUAACCAUUGAAUAUUAUUUUAUUGGAAGAGAUACUAGAAUAGAAUUAGGUUUACAGGGUACGUAAACAGGAUUCCUGCAGAGAACUGUGUGGCUUCAGGAAAAACAGUGGUAGAUGACUGGAUUGAUUAAGAUGGAACUCUGAUAGGACCAUAGCAGGAGGACUCUAACCCCAUGAAUCAUCACAAAGCCAUUCUCUGAGGUGGAGAACUGCUAGGUUGGGAUGAAGCAUGUGCUGAAAAUGAGGAAUGAUUGGGAGCCUGAACUGCAGUUGGACACAUAAGUGAACUGCAGACGCAACUCCUGGAAAAGACCAAGGGCCAUCUGGGUAGAUGAUAGAACUGCUUCGUAGAAAUAGCCCUUGAGUAGUCAGUUGCUGAGAUAUGGGAAGACUAGGAUUGCUUCUUCUUGGAGACCACAGGGCAUCAGAAGACUCCAUUCCAGGAACAUUCAAACAAAUGAAAGCCUAGGAAGUGGCUGAGGCUGGAGCAGGAAGAGAGGAAGUGGCCCUGGAGGGACUUCUUGUACUCUAACCCAGCCUAGGAGGAGUCCUGUAAGCUCAUGAUUCAAGGACAGAGUCUGCUUAUACUCUAAUCCAGCUCAGGAGGAAUGGUUUGGAUUCCUGAUCCAAGGAGGGAAAGUGCUUUUAUCCCAGUCUGGUACUACAAAGGGGCUAUGGACUCCUGAUGCAAGGGGAAAGAGGCUGAUAUAGUUAUAACCCAGCAAGGAAGCCUGUCUGACCCCAGAGACCUGUGGACUAAAAAGAUUGAAGAGAAACUGAGCCUGCUGACCAAUUCUGGAUAGAAGUUUUUUUUUUUUUUCCCUUUGCUGGACCACGACCAUUCAAUGGAGUGAGUAGCAGGAAGUAUUGAAAGAGAGAUACUGUUAGCACUGUUUCCACAUACCUCAAAGACUGAUCUUUAUGCAGCUGAGACUCCAAGGGAUAUCCCUUAAAAUAAAGGCCAGCUUAUUACCCAUCUUCUCCAGCUCCCGGGGAACUAAAUACUCUGAAGUAGAGAGAAAUUGUUGCACAAUGCUUCUUUAUAGCUCUCAGUGUGCCUUCUUUGCUGGCUCCAGCUGCCCCUAAACUCUGUUUUUCCUAGUCUUUUCUCCAAUAUUUUUUCCAGUUGACUUAGUUAUUACAGUACAUGGACCAGACUGAGGAAAAUACAUUGAAGGUUGGAGUUGGCAAAGCAGUAAGUGCUAUGAGAGGGAAGUACUCUUGCCAUGCAAUGACAUCAUCUGGGAGUUAAUUGGUUGCAUUCCUGCUGAUGGGAGGUGCUGGCUGGAGUCCUUACACUUACUUCCGUGAUACAGAACAGAGACAGUGCCUGUUUCUUGCCAGCCUGCUUCAUUGGCAGUACUCUGGCAAAGUCUAAGAUGCUUACAAAAACAGUACAGUACUUUAUUUAGCCUGUAGUGAGAAAAAGUCCUUUCACAGCUCCAGUUUAGGUGCUGAGCACUAACA
Mauremys reevesii (Reeves's turtle) is the source of this 2544-nucleotide long non-coding RNA. RefSeq lists it as uncharacterized. Lineage: Eukaryota; Metazoa; Chordata; Testudines; Geoemydidae. The record is from RefSeq and is a predicted model, not a curated record. The transcript has 7 exons.